This 253-nucleotide ribosomal RNA is filed under the name uncultured bacterium. RNAcentral's name for it is "partial 16S ribosomal RNA". It matches the Rfam family "Bacterial small subunit ribosomal RNA", at positions 524 to 776 of the family's 1533-position model. The record is from RNAcentral.
UACAGAGGUCUCAAGCGUUGUUCGGAUUCAUUGGGCGUAAAGGGUGCGUAGGCGGCGCGGUAAGUCGGGUGUGAAAUCUCGGGGCUUAACUCCGAAACUGCAUUCGAUACUGCCGUGCUUGAGGACUGGAGAGGAGACUGGAAUUUACGGUGUAGCGGUGAAAUGCGUAGAUAUCGGAAGGAACAUCAGUGGCGAAAGCGGCUUCCUGGACCAGCACCGACGUUCAGGCACGAAAGCGUGGGGAGCAAACAGG